GACGAACGCUGGCGGCGUGCUUAACACAUGCAAGUCGAGCGGUAAGGCUCCUUCGGGAGUACACGAGCGGCGAACGGGUGAGUAACACGUGAGUAAUCUGCCCUUCACUUCGGGAUAACCGCCGGAAACGGUGGCUAAUACCGAAUACGACCAGUCUUCGCAUGAGGUGCUGGUGGAAAGUCUUUUCGGUGAAGGAUGUGCUCGCGGCCUAUCAGCUUGUUGGUGGGGUAAUGGCCUACCAAGGCUUCGACGGGUAGCCGGCCUGAGAGGGUGACCGGCCACACUGGGACUGAGACACGGCCCAGACUCCUACGGGAGGCAGCAGUGGGGAAUAUUGGACAAUGGGCGAAAGCCUGAUCCAGCAACGCCGCGUGAGGGAUGACGGCCUUCGGGUUGUAAACCUCUUUCAGUACCGACGAAGCGCCCUGUCGGGUGGUGACGGUAGGUACAGAAGAAGGACCGGCCAACUACGUG
Molecule: ribosomal RNA, 474 nt
Filed under: uncultured bacterium
Lineage: Bacteria
Description: partial 16S ribosomal RNA
Rfam family: Bacterial small subunit ribosomal RNA
Source: RNAcentral